GAUGAACGCUGGCGGCGUGCUUAAUACAUGCAAGUCGAACGAAUGGAUGUCUAGCUUGCUAGACUGAAGUUAGUGGCGAACGGGUGAGUAAUACAUAGGCAAUCUGCCCUGAAGUGUGGGAUAGCUAUUGGAAACGAUAAUUAAUACCGCAUAGGUAGUAAGAAGGCAUCUUCCUACUAUUAAAGAUGCGUUUGCAUCGCUGCAGGAUGAGCUUAUGGUGUAUUAGCUAGUUGGUGAGAUAAAAGCCCACCAAGGCUAUGAUACAUAGCUGGUCUGAGAGGAUGGAACAGCCACAUUGGGACUGAGACACGGCCCAGACUCCUACGGGAGGCAGCAGUAAGGAAUCUUCCACAAUGGGUGAAAACCUGAUGGAGCAAUGCCGCGUGAAUGAAGAAGGUCUUCGGAUCGUAAAGUUCUGUUAUUAGAGAAGAACAAGUCAAGGAGUAACUGUCUUGACUUUGACGGUACCUAACC
This 474-nucleotide ribosomal RNA is filed under the name uncultured bacterium. RNAcentral's name for it is "bacterial SSU rRNA". It matches the Rfam family "Bacterial small subunit ribosomal RNA", at positions 28 to 484 of the family's 1533-position model. The record is from RNAcentral.